UAUUAAAAAUUGUAUCUUUUGUAUUAUUAAAAACUAACGUGGUUGAUAGAAUAACUAAACAGUUCACAUGACAUGCCAUAUGUAUCUCAUGCCGACGUUCAAGUAUUGGUUUUUAACAAUAAAAAAUGGAUGAAAUUUUCAACG
This is a non-coding RNA of Gossypium hirsutum (cotton), 144 nucleotides long. The record is from Rfam. NCBI's taxonomy places the organism in Eukaryota, Viridiplantae, Streptophyta, Magnoliopsida, Malvales, Malvaceae.